CUCUUAUUACGAGUGGCGUAGGGACUAGGCCCUGUGAUGCCCGGCAACCUUUCAAGUUAUGCUUGAAAAAGGUGCCAAUUCCUACAGAUGCAUGCAUCUGGCAGAUAAGAG
This 111-nucleotide non-coding RNA is filed under the name Halobacillus sp. RNAcentral describes it as "SAM-I sequence". It matches the Rfam family "SAM riboswitch aptamer (S box leader)". Rfam says of the family: The SAM riboswitch is found upstream of a number of genes which code for proteins involved in methionine or cysteine biosynthesis in Gram-positive bacteria. The SAM riboswitch acts at the level of transcription termination control. Lineage: Bacteria; Bacillati; Bacillota; Bacilli; Caryophanales; Bacillaceae. The record is from RNAcentral. RNAcentral also lists the same sequence under 1 other name.